GCCAGACUCCUACGGGAGGCAGCAGUGGGGAAUAUUGCACAAUGGGGGAAACCCUGAUGCAGCGACGCCGCGUGAGUGAAGAAGUAUUUCGGUAUGUAAAGCUCUAUCAGCAGGGAAGAAAAUGACGGUACCUGAUUAAGAAGCCCCGGCUAACUACGUGCCAGCAGCCGCGGUAAUACGUAGGGGGCAAGCGUUAUCCGGAUUUACUGGGUGUAAAGGGAGCGUAGACGGUGAUGCAAGUCAGAAGUGAAAGCCCGGGGCUCAACUCCGGGACUGCUUUUGAAACUGUGUGACUGGAGUGCAGGAGAGGUAAGCGGAAUUCCUGGUGUAGCGGUGAAAUGCGUAGAUAUCAGGAGGAACACCAGUGGCGAAGGCGGCUUACUGGACUGUAACUGACGUUGAGGCUCGAAAGCGUGGGGAGCAAACAGGAUUAGAUACCCCAGUAUUC
This 448-nucleotide ribosomal RNA is filed under the name uncultured bacterium. RNAcentral's name for it is "bacterial SSU rRNA". It matches the Rfam family "Bacterial small subunit ribosomal RNA", at positions 330 to 795 of the family's 1533-position model. The record is from RNAcentral.